CGGGGUGUAGCGCAGUUGGUAGCGCACAGCGUUUGGGACGCUGGGGUCGCUGGUUCGAGUCCAGUCACCCCGACCA
RNAcentral lists this transfer RNA (76 nucleotides) under Herpetosiphonaceae bacterium. RNAcentral's name for it is "tRNA-Pro". It matches the Rfam family "tRNA". Rfam says of the family: Transfer RNA (tRNA) molecules are approximately 80 nucleotides in length. Their secondary structure includes four short double-helical elements and three loops (D, anti-codon, and T loops). Further hydrogen bonds mediate the characteristic L-shaped molecular structure. tRNAs have two regions of fundamental functional importance: the anti-codon, which is responsible for specific mRNA codon recognition, and the 3' end, to which the tRNAs corresponding amino acid is attached (by aminoacyl-tRNA synthetases). tRNAs cope with the degeneracy of the genetic code in two manners: having more than one tRNA (with a specific anti-codon) for a particular amino acid; and 'wobble' base-pairing, i.e. permitting non-standard base-pairing at the 3rd anti-codon position. RNAcentral also lists the same sequence under 2 other names. Lineage: Bacteria; Bacillati; Chloroflexota; Chloroflexia; Herpetosiphonales; Herpetosiphonaceae. The record is from RNAcentral.